UACAGAGGGUGCGAGCGUUAAUCGGAAUUACUGGGCGUAAAGCGUGCGCAGACGGUCACGUAAGUCGGGUGUGAAAGCCCCGGGCUCAACCUGGGAAUUGCAUUCGAGACUGCGUGGCUAGGGUGCGGAAGAGGGAAGCGGAAUUUCCGGUGUAGCGGUGAAAUGCGUAGAUAUCGGAAGGAACACCAGUGGCGAAAGCGGACUUCCUGGUCCAGC
RNAcentral lists this ribosomal RNA (216 nucleotides) under uncultured bacterium. RNAcentral's name for it is "partial 16S ribosomal RNA". It matches the Rfam family "Bacterial small subunit ribosomal RNA", at positions 524 to 738 of the family's 1533-position model. The record is from RNAcentral.